Molecule: microRNA precursor, 189 nt
Filed under: Oryza meridionalis
Lineage: Eukaryota; Viridiplantae; Streptophyta; Magnoliopsida; Poales; Poaceae
Description: MIR812 microRNA precursor family
Rfam family: MIR812 microRNA precursor family
Source: Rfam by way of RNAcentral
CUUAAGUGCAAUUAAGUUUUCGUGUCCAAUUUUAAUCGUCUGUCUUAUUUAUUUUUUUUAUAAUUAGUAUUUUUGUUGUUAUGAGAUAAUAAAAUAUAAAUAAUACUUUACAUAUGGCUUAUGUUUUUUCGUUUUUUUAAAAAAAAUUAAAUAAGAAGAACGGUUUGGGAAAUAAUGACUGCGCUUAAA